RNAcentral lists this ribosomal RNA (595 nucleotides) under Shearia formosa. RNAcentral's name for it is "SSU rRNA". It matches the Rfam family "Eukaryotic small subunit ribosomal RNA", at positions 92 to 690 of the family's 1831-position model. Lineage: Eukaryota; Fungi; Ascomycota; Dothideomycetes; Pleosporales; Longiostiolaceae. The record is from RNAcentral.
AAUGGCUCAUUAAAUCAGUUAUCGUUUAUUUGAUAGUACUUUACUACUUGGAUAACCGUGGUAAUUCUAGAGCUAAUACAUGCUGAAAACCUCAACUUCGGAAGGGGUGUAUUUAUUAGAUAAAAAACCAAUGCCUUUCGGGGCUCUUUGGUGAUUCAUGAUAACUUUUCAGAUCGCAUGGCCUUGCGCCGGCGACGGUUCAUUCAAAUUUCUGCCCUAUCAACUUUCGAUGGUAAGGUAUUGGCUUACCAUGGUUUCAACGGGUAACGGGGAAUUAGGGUUCGAUUCCGGAGAGGGAGCCUGAGAAACGGCUACCACAUCCAAGGAAGGCAGCAGGCGCGCAAAUUACCCAAUCCCGACACGGGGAGGUAGUGACAAUAAAUACUGAUACAGGGCUCUUUUGGGUCUUGUAAUUGGAAUGAGUACAAUUUAAACCUCUUAACGAGGAACAAUUGGAGGGCAAGUCUGGUGCCAGCAGCCGCGGUAAUUCCAGCUCCAAUAGCGUAUAUUAAAGUUGUUGCAGUUAAAAAGCUCGUAGUUGAACCUUGGGCCUGGCUGGCAGGUCCGCCUCACCGCGAGUACUUGUCCGGCCGGG